This 269-nucleotide ribosomal RNA is filed under the name uncultured prokaryote. RNAcentral's name for it is "partial 16S ribosomal RNA". It matches the Rfam family "Bacterial small subunit ribosomal RNA", at positions 524 to 792 of the family's 1533-position model. The record is from RNAcentral.
UACGGAGGAUCCAAGCGUUAUCCGGAUUUAUUGGGUUUAAAGGGUGCGUAGGCGGGGUAGUAAGUCAGUGGUGAAAUCCUACAGCUCAACUGUAGAACUGCCAUUGAUACUGCUAUUCUUGAGUAUAGUUGAGGUGGGCGGAAUGUGUAAUGUAGCGGUGAAAUGCAUAGAUAUUACACAGAACACCGAUUGCGUAGGCAGCUCACUAGACUACUACUGACGCUGAGGCACGAAAGCGUGGGGAGCGAACAGGAUUAGAUACCCGUGUA